Molecule: ribosomal RNA, 762 nt
Filed under: Triticum aestivum (bread wheat)
Lineage: Eukaryota; Viridiplantae; Streptophyta; Magnoliopsida; Poales; Poaceae
Description: partial small subunit ribosomal RNA
Source: RNAcentral
AUGGAUCCCCAGGCUAGAGGAGAACCGCCGGCCUCCGAAGGCUCGUCCAACUCGGCGCCGACGGCUAGGAAGAGGACUCCGGGGAGGUGGAGAAGGAUCCCACGCGCCCACCCCUUCACGCCGAGUGAAACGGCGGAAGAAGCGGAAUUGUCGAUGCUGAAAAACGCCGAGUUCAUAGAGAACAUGCGCGAGGAGGACUGCGAUCUGCUCACGGAGCAGGACGGGCUCGACUUCCACGCCUUCAAGAAGAAGAUGGUCCCAGCCAUGCGCCUCAUCGCCAAGUCCACGCUCCACAACACCUUCUUCAACCCCAUACAAUUCAGCGACACAAAGGAGGAGCACCUGACCGCCGAGGGCAUGGAGGCACAAAUACUAGCACGAUUUCCUGAUCGCAAGCCUUGCCAGCAAGCUAAAGACUUUGCUGAACUUGCUCUGGCGCACUACAAUGAGAAGAACAAAACGAGUGAGUUUGAGUUGGCCAUGACUCUGCUAUCGAAUUGCUUCUCUGAGUCGUGUGGGGACAUUUAUGGCCAUGUUAAUUUCACCGCCGUUCCUCAGAAGCAGUCUGCCAUAGUGCCUGCAUCAAAGACCAAGAGACUGUUCUUUGCUGAGCUUAUGCAUACUCCGAGCCUUGAAGCAUAUGCAAGGGCUCAGCCUAUGCGCGUGCUGCGUGUGUGCACCAUUGAUGAUGAUUCUUGUUAUGGUAUGUAUUUCAAUCCUCUUACUGUAUUUUUUUCUAUGGCCAAGCUGCUAAUUUUCUGA